RNAcentral lists this ribosomal RNA (494 nucleotides) under Cryptosporidium parvum. Its description in RNAcentral is "SSU rRNA". It matches the Rfam family "Eukaryotic small subunit ribosomal RNA", at positions 556 to 1081 of the family's 1831-position model. Lineage: Eukaryota; Apicomplexa; Conoidasida; Eucoccidiorida; Cryptosporidiidae. The record is from RNAcentral.
CAAGUCUGGUGCCAGCAGCCGCGGUAAUUCCAGCUCCAAUAGCGUAUAUUAAAGUUGUUGCAGUUAAAAAGCUCGUAGUUGGAUUUCUGUUAAUAAUUUAUAUAAAAUAUUUUGAUGAAUAUUUAUAUAAUAUUAACAUAAUUCAUAUUACUAUAUAUUUUAGUAUAUGAAAUUUUACUUUGAGAAAAUUAGAGUGCUUAAAGCAGGCAUAUGCAUUGAAUACUCCAGCAUGGAAUAAUAUUAAAGAUUUUUAUCUUUCUUAUUGGUUCUAAGAUAAGAAUAAUGAUUAAUAGGGACAGUUGGGGGCAUUUGUAUUUAACAGUCAGAGGUGAAAUUCUUAGAUUUGUUAAAGACAAACUAAUGCGAAAGCAUUUGCCAAGGAUGUUUUCAUUAAUCAAGAACGAAAGUUAGGGGAUCGAAGACGAUCAGAUACCGUCGUAGUCUUAACCAUAAACUAUGCCAACUAGAGAUUGGAGGUUGUUCCUUACUCCUUC